GCCCAGGUAGCUCAGUCGGUAGAGCAAAGGACUGAAAAUCCUUGUGUCGGCGGUUCGAUUCCGUCCCUGGGCACCA
This 76-nucleotide transfer RNA is filed under the name Rickettsiales bacterium. RNAcentral describes it as "tRNA-Phe". It matches the Rfam family "tRNA". From Rfam's summary of the family: Transfer RNA (tRNA) molecules are approximately 80 nucleotides in length. Their secondary structure includes four short double-helical elements and three loops (D, anti-codon, and T loops). Lineage: Bacteria; Pseudomonadati; Pseudomonadota; Alphaproteobacteria; Rickettsiales. The record is from RNAcentral.